UUUGUGCCAUUCAAUGGAUGGCUUGGCUCAAGCGCUGAUGAGGGACGUGCCAAGCUGCGAUAAGCCUCGGCGAACUGCAUGGACGUGUUGAACCGAGGAUUUCCUAAUAAGACCUCUUACUGUUUUAGCAACAGUGACCACGUACCUUAAUAUGGCGUGUGGUUGGGAACGCCCUGGAUUGAAACAUCUUAGUAGGGGCAGGAAAAGAAAUCAAAUUUGAGAUGCUGUAAGUAACGGCGAGUGAACACAGCACAGUUCAAACUGAAUCCACCCAGAAAUGGAAUGGAGAUGUGGUGUUGUAAGGAUUAAGCCUUUUUGCAGUCUUCUCAGGUGAAGCUGAACUUGUCUGGAAUGACAGACCAUAGAGUGUGAUAGUCAUGUAAGCACAAGCCUGAAAGAUUGUGGUUUUGUCCUUGAGUACCGUGAGUUGGAAUUCUCGCGGGAAUCUGGGAGUCAUCAACUUCCAAAACUAAAUACGUCUUGAGACCGAUAGUGCAUUAGUACCGUGAGGGAAAGCUGAAAAGUGCCCUAAGAAGGGAGGUGCAAAGUGCCUGAAAUUGAAUGGUGAUAGAGCGAUGUAGCAUGAAAGGAUCUCUACAAUGAAGGAGGCAGUCGCGAGGCUGUAGUACGAGUUGUGGUGCCAGUGUUACAUCUUACGUUUUGAAGAACGGGCCAGGGAGUGUAUUCGAGUGGCGAUGGCUAACCUCAUUAUGGGGGGAGCCAAAGCGAAAGCAACAUGCACGCAACCCCUUUUAGGGGUGAGGUGCGACGUGUACAAGCGCGUGGAGUCACUAGAUUACGACCCGAAACCCAGCGAUCUAGGCGUGGGCAGGUUGAAGCGUGGCGAAAGCUACGUGGAGGACCGUUAGCGGUAUUGAUUUGCAAAUCAUUCGCGUGACCUGUGUCUAGGAGUGAAAUACUAAUCGAGCUGGGAAACAGCUGGUUCCUUCCUAAACAUGUCGCAGCAUGACCCUGCUGGAGAUCGUCAACAAGGUAGAGCACUGAUUGGAGAAGCUGGGGGGGAAACCCCCUACUCUCUUGUCAAACUCCGAACUUGUUGUCAUCGUAGAAGGCAGGCAGUCCGGGCUACUGGGGUAAGCUUGUAGUCCGUGAGGGAGAGAACCCAGACCAUGGUUAAGGUCCCUAAGUGUCGACUAAGUGUUAAUACUAAAGGGUGUCCUAAGCCCAAGACAACUGGAAGGUGAGCUUAGAAGCAGCUAUCCUUUAACGAGUGCGUAACAGCCCACCAGUCGAGGUUUAGGGCCCCGAAAAUGGACGGGGCUCAAGUCGACCACCGAUACCAUGGAGCACCGAGAGGUGAUCUGGUAGGAAGGCGUCUGGCAUGGACAGAAGCAGGGCUGUGAAGUCCUGUGGACCGUGUUGGAACGAAAAUCCUGGCAACAGUAGCAGCAUAGCUGGGUGAGAAUCCCAGCCGCCGAAGGGGCUAGGUUUCCUCGGCAAUGUUCGUCAGCCGAGGGUUAGUCGAUCCUAAGAUAUAUCGUAAUUCGAGUAUGUCAAAAGGGAAACAGGUUAAUAUUCCUGUACCAAUCUAACAAUUUGAAUGUUGACGCAUCCGGGUAGGCUGAGCAGUGUCAUCGCACUGUCCAAGCAUUUAAAUUCUCGGAGUGCUGUAAUAGCGAGAAGAGAAUGAAUAUGUGAUGGAGAAAUUCAGCUAACCCCAGGUGCCCGUGAAAAGGCCGUUGGAUUGAUCGUACCGAGAACUGACACAGGUGCCCCUAGCUGAAAAGGCUAAGGCGUGUCGGGUUAUGCUGGCUAAGGGAAUUCGGCAAAUUAGCUCCGUAACUUCGGGAGAAGGAGUGCCUGCCAAGAAGUUGGCAGGUCGCAGUGACCAGGGAGCUCUAACUGUCUAAUAACAACAUAGCUGACUGCAAAUCCGAAAGGAUGAGUACAGUCAGUGAAUCCUGCCCAGUGCAGGUACCUGAAAGCUCGGUUCAACGGGAAGAAGGGCCUGUCAACGGCGGGGGUAACUAUGACCCUCAACAAACAAAAGAGCACAAGGGGGUUUUGAAAUCUGGCUAUAUGCUGGAAACUCCUUGUUUUUGACUCCUGAGCAAGGGACAAUGUCAAAAACAAUAAGGAUGAUCAGCAGGAAACCGGAAGGUGAAAAGAUUGUUAAAUGAGUUUGAAGAUUUAAUCGACCCAAAACUUAUGCCAAGAAAGCGAAAGGAAUUGAUGCAUCAUCUCAUCGGAUUUGCUGAUGGAGAAGGAUGCUUCAAUGUUUCGCUCAAAAGGCAGAAGACAGCACGAUUCGGAUGGGUACUUGAUCCAGUGUUUCACGUGACCCAACAUAGAGAUAAUCAAAUCAUCCUCGAGAUGUUUAAGAGAAUACUCAUGUGUGGUAGAAUCAUAGAGAAACACGGACAAAAGGACACAUUCCAAUUCAUGGUCGAUAACCGAAGACAACUCAUCGAAAAGAUCAUUCCAUUCUUCGAUCGAUAUCAUCUUAUCGUCAAAAGAAGGGAUUUUGAGUUGUUUAAGGAGAUAGUCAUCGGACUUGAAGCUAAAAAGCACAGCGAUCUGAAUGAGUUUAAGAAACUCCUCAAAAAAGCAUUUGAGAUGAAUCAAUAUGGAAAACAGAGGAGAUACAAACAGAACGAUGUGUUAAAUGAUCUGGAUCUUCUGGGGUCCUCAGAGGCCAUACGCCAGACACCUGAAAAGAAAAAAGCAUAGGAUGCUAAAAGAAGGUGAAGAUAUGGUCCACCAUAACUGGUGCUUAAGGUAGCGUAGUACCUUGUCGCUUAAUUGGCGACUCGCAUGAAUGGAUCAAUGAGAGCUCUACUGUCCCUAGCCAGAGCCCGGUGAAGUUUACAUCCCAGUGCAGAGUCUGGGGACCCCCAGGGGGAAGUGAAGACCCCGUGGAGCUUUACUGCAGCCUGCAGUUGGAUUGUGGUUUUGAUUGUGCAGAGUAGGUAGGAGACGUCGAAGCUCGCGCGCCAGCGUGAGUGGAGUCAACAAUGAGACACUACCCUUUCAAAAUUAUGAUCCUAACCCAAAUUUUUUUGGGGACACCUGUAGGUGGGCAGUUUGGGUGGGGCGCCACGCCCUUGAAAAGAUAUCAAGGGCGCCCAAAGGUUGACUCAGGUGGGUCAGAAACCCACUAAAGAGUGCAAGAGCAUAAGUCAGCCUGACGUUAUCCCGCACAAUGAGGGAUGACGAGAGGAAACUCGGGUCUAGCGAACCACUAUGCCUUCUUGAUGAGGGCUAUUGAUGACAGAAAAGCUACCCCAGGGAUAACAGUGUCGUCACCGGCAAGAGCACAUAUCGACCCGGUGGCUUGCUACCUCGAUGUCGGUUCUUUCCAUCCUGGCUGUGCAGCAGCAGCCAAGGGUGAGGUUGUUCGCCUAUUAAAGGAGAUCGUGAGCUGGGUUUAGACCGUCGUGAGACAGGUCGGUUACUAUCUACUGGGGGUGUCUGAAGUCUGAGGGUAAGCUGCUUAUAGUACGAGAGGAACUGAGCAGCGGCGCCACUGGUCGAUCGGUUGUCUGACAAGGCACUGCCGAGCAGCUACGCGCUACAGAGAUAAGGGCUGAAAGCAUCUAAGCCCGAAACUCCACCCGAAAAGAGACUUCUAUAGAACGCUCAUAAAAGAUGAGUUUGAUAGAAUCGGGAUGUACGCACCAAGGGAAACCGAGGUGUUCAGUCCGCGAUUACUAAUCGUUCUUUA
Molecule: ribosomal RNA, 3685 nt
Filed under: Candidatus Argoarchaeum ethanivorans
Lineage: Archaea; Methanobacteriati; Methanobacteriota; Methanomicrobia; Methanosarcinales
Description: 23S ribosomal RNA
Rfam family: Archaeal large subunit ribosomal RNA
Source: RNAcentral